UACGGAGGGUGCAAGCGUUAUCCGGAUUUAUUGGGUUUAAAGGGUGCGUAGGCGGUUAUUUAAGUCAGUGGUGAAAGUUUUCGGCUCAACCGGAAAAUUGCCAUUGAUACUGGGUAGCUAGAAUAUGGUUGCUGUGAGUAGAAUGUGUGGUGUAGCGGUGAAAUGCAUAGAUAUCACACAGAAUACCGAUUGCGAAGGCAUCUCACAAAGCCAUCAUUGACGCUGAGGCACGAAAGUAUGGGGAUCAAACAGGAUUAGA
This 259-nucleotide ribosomal RNA is filed under the name uncultured prokaryote. RNAcentral describes it as "partial 16S ribosomal RNA". It matches the Rfam family "Bacterial small subunit ribosomal RNA", at positions 524 to 782 of the family's 1533-position model. The record is from RNAcentral.